Long non-coding RNA from Cannabis sativa, 2519 nucleotides. RefSeq lists it as uncharacterized. The transcript is spliced from 2 exons. Lineage: Eukaryota; Viridiplantae; Streptophyta; Magnoliopsida; Rosales; Cannabaceae. The record is from RefSeq and is a predicted model, not a curated record.
GUGAGAGUGAGAAAUCGAGGCAACACCUUCAGUAAAAUCCCUAAACCCAACGUAUUGUUCAUACUUCCCUAAUCUCCCUCCUCUUCGAAAUUUUUCUGGCAAAAUAAGCAACCUAACCCCGAACUCUUCGAGCCCCUUUCCUCCUCUUCAGAAUCGAUCACUCGAGCCCCAUUCUCUUUCUCCUCUUCUCAAUGAGGCGGUGACCCAACCCCAACCUCCUCUUCUCUUCUUCAUCUUCUCCUUAAUCAGGAUUUCUCUCUUCUUUUGAGAUUGUCUGAGACACUUUCCUCCUCAAGACCCCCUUCAUUCUUAGAUCGUCGUUGACGAUGUCACUAGAUGACCGUCCAUCAUCCUCUGCUACCACUCAAGCUCGGAAAAAGUCUCAAUCCAACACUCUUCAUCUUAUGUACGUGUUCCCCUUUCAUCUCUUUCACUUCUGUAGAGAAUAUGAGGUUUUCAUUUUGCUUUAAAAUCUACUGAAGUGGAAUAGUUCGUUUUUAGCCUAAUUCAUGCAUGUAUAUAUAUAUAUUUUUAUAUUUGAUUCAAAUUAUCAUAUAUUCUUUUUGUUCUUUGAGUCUCGUUAACGAAGAUGUAUAUGGAUUUAUUUAAUUUCUUGACUUCAAAUCACGAUUUCUUGUUGUUGAUCACAAUUGAAUUGUUAUGUUGGUCCUUUGCAGCAUGAAACAUUCUUUCUGUUGUUUGGUUGCUGAGAAAUGUGUAUGAAUGAAAGUAAAAUUUUGUUUAUAUUAUUUUUGUUGUGAAAUUAUAGGGGAGAAUCAGAUAUUUUGGAUGCCCAUAUGGUUAAUGUUGAUGUAUUAUAGUUGGUAACUGAUUAUUUGAAAUCUUAAAUCAUUUUGGGGAUUUGGGUUGGGCAUUUUUUCUGAUAGUAAAUACUGAAUUUGAUCACUUAGACUGUUGAUAAUGGAUUUCAUAACUUGAAUCAUAUAUCAUUUUUAUGGGAGGAAACUCUGUUGUUUCCAUUCUUCAAAUUACGUACAAAUAGCUAUGACUGUGUAGAUCAUAUGUUUAAGCUUAACUAAACAAGAAACAUAGGCUAUGUGAAAGUCUUGUUUAUAAAAUGAGUUAGACUUUCAAGUAAUUUAUAGAUCAUAUGUUUCAAGUAAUUUAAAAUUUUAGGCAUCGGGUUUCCUAGCUUCUAAUGUAAAUGUUUUCUAAACAUGAGCUAGCUAGCUAGCUUUGGCAGAGAAGCUAGUUAUGAUCAGAUCAGACCACUUAAGAAAUAAUCAAAUAAAGAGAUAGAAUAAUUGUAGAAGAAAGUUUUAGAGUGUUCUUUUUUCUUGUUCUUUGUCAGUAAAGUGGAAUGAGAUUGUUAUGCUCUCAUUGCCACAAGUUACAAGGCAUUAGUUUAAAUCAUACUAAGUUCCCUUUUCCGUUGAAGAAUUAUCACCGAUCGUUUUGUGGAGAUUUGGGAAGAGGAGGACUUCUUCGUACAAAUCGCGUUUUUGGAUUUCGGGUAAGUCCAAAUCUCUCCUCUCCUUGUUUGUCUCGCAGCUAUCAUUUACCUAGACAUAUAAUGUGUUUAUUUAUCAAGAAAAAUGACUUAUCUAUUGACUUUGUUGAUUGUGAUUAUUUAUGCUGGUUCUUUGUGCAUAUGAUAGAUAAUUUAUUUGGUGUUCAUGGUUGUAUGCAAAAAGGAACAUUCAUAUUUUUGACAUGUGAUAAUCUCUAAUCUGUCGUAUAAGUUUAUUGCCUUUAACACCGCCUGUAGAACACUAUAUACAUCGAUCAUAUGAUCGACUAAUUACAAAGAAAGUUCUUGAAUAGAAAAUAUGUCCAUUCUUAUGUCAAGUGAUGGGUCAUUAAGAAUAAUAAUAGUAAUAAUCACCAUUGUUGCAUUGGGAUAGUGCUCUAAUUUUAAUUAUUGUUAUAUUGAUGGGUCACUAAGAAUAAUAAUAGUAAUAAAUUUCUAUCAUCAUCUUCAAUCAAUUAAUACAGUAGAGAUUUCUUAAAUCAUUCUUUAUUUUACAAACAUGAUAUUUUGACAUAUUGCCCUUCUUUUCCUUGGAAUAAAUGAUCUUGAAGUGUCAUACAUUUGUCUUAACUCUCCACUGCUAUUGUAGAAAAGAAAUUUCAAGGAUGUCUUGUUAUAUACUUGUUAUAUUUUUCUGGUUAUUUCCCAUGUCUCGUAAGUCCCUAUUGCAUUCAGGCUGUUGAUUUCUCACCUACUAUCUUCCACUUUUAGGGCAACCAAUUGGACUGUAUAGUUCAAGUCAGACGCUCCAUAUAGUAACGAAGAGAUCAAUACAGUACGGGAUGAGUGGGUCGAAUUUGUGAAGCCUUUGAUUAUGGAUUUAGUACAAGGUUACUACUUUUGUUAUAAUACAUGAGUAACAAGUUUUAUGAUUAUUGUUAUAUGUUGCAUAUGUAAUUAGUUUAUAUUUAGUUUACAAUAUACAUGAAAUUUAAGUUUUCGGAUCGAUUCUAUUAACAAUUUUAGUAUUGUGUGAUUAAUUAAUAGAAUCGAUUACUAAUUUUAUGUGAGUUUUAAAAAUGUUAUU